AGUGAACGCUGGCGGUAGGCCUAACACAUGCAAGUCGAACGGCAGCGCAGUAAGAGCUUGCUCUUACGGGUGGCGAGUGGCGGACGGGUGAGGAAUACAUCGGAAUCUACUUUUUCGUGGGGGAUAACGUAGGGAAACUUACGCUAAUACCGCAUACGACCUACGGGUGAAAGCAGGGGGUCUUCGGACCUUGCGCGAUUGAAUGAGCCGAUGUCGGAUUAGCUAGUUGGCGGGGUAAAGGCCCACCAAGGCGACGAUCCGUAGCUGGUCUGAGAGGAUGAUCAGCCACACUGGAACUGAGCCACGGUCCAGACUCCUACGGGAGGCAGCAGUGGGGAAUAUUGGACAAUGGGCGCAAGCCUGAUCCAGCCAUACCGCGUGGGUGAAGAAGGCCUUCGGGUUGUAAAGCCCUUUUGUUGGGAAAGAAAAGCAGCAGGUUAAUACCCCGCUGUUCUGACGGUACCCAAAGAAUAAGCACCGGCUAACUUCGUG
This 492-nucleotide ribosomal RNA is filed under the name uncultured bacterium. Its description in RNAcentral is "partial 16S ribosomal RNA". It matches the Rfam family "Bacterial small subunit ribosomal RNA", at positions 29 to 507 of the family's 1533-position model. The record is from RNAcentral.